RNAcentral lists this ribosomal RNA (850 nucleotides) under Escherichia coli. RNAcentral's name for it is "partial 23S ribosomal RNA". It matches the Rfam family "Bacterial large subunit ribosomal RNA", at positions 614 to 1468 of the family's 2925-position model. The record is from RNAcentral. Lineage: Bacteria; Pseudomonadati; Pseudomonadota; Gammaproteobacteria; Enterobacterales; Enterobacteriaceae.
AAUGGGUCAGCGACUUAUAUUCUGUAGCAAGGUUAACCGAAUAGGGGAGCCGAAGGGAAACCGAGUCUUAACUGGGCGUUAAGUUGCAGGGUAUAGACCCGAAACCCGGUGAUCUAGCCAUGGGCAGGUUGAAGGUUGGGUAACACUAACUGGAGGACCGAACCGACUAAUGUUGAAAAAUUAGCGGAUGACUUGUGGCUGGGGGUGAAAGGCCAAUCAAACCGGGAGAUAGCUGGUUCUCCCCGAAAGCUAUUUAGGUAGCGCCUCGUGAAUUCAUCUCCGGGGGUAGAGCACUGUUUCGGCAAGGGGGUCAUCCCGACUUACCAACCCGAUGCAAACUGCGAAUACCGGAGAAUGUUAUCACGGGAGACACACGGCGGGUGCUAACGUCCGUCGUGAAGAGGGAAACAACCCAGACCGCCAGCUAAGGUCCCAAAGUCAUGGUUAAGUGGGAAACGAUGUGGGAAGGCCCAGACAGCCAGGAUGUUGGCUUAGAAGCAGCCAUCAUUUAAAGAAAGCGUAAUAGCUCACUGGUCGAGUCGGCCUGCGCGGAAGAUGUAACGGGGCUAAACCAUGCACCGAAGCUGCGGCAGCGACGCUUAUGCGUUGUUGGGUAGGGGAGCGUUCUGUAAGCCUGUGAAGGUGUGCUGUGAGGCAUGCUGGAGGUAUCAGAAGUGCGAAUGCUGACAUAAGUAACGAUAAAGCGGGUGAAAAGCCCGCUCGCCGGAAGACCAAGGGUUCCUGUCCAACGUUAAUCGGGGCAGGGUGAGUCGACCCCUAAGGCGAGGCCGAAAGGCGUAGUCGAUGGGAAACAGGUUAAUAUUCCUGUACUUGGUGUUACUGCGAAGGG